AUUGAACGCUGGCGGCAGGCCUAACACAUGCAAGUCGAGCGGAUGAAGGGAGCUUGCUCCUGGAUUCAGCGGCGGACGGGUGAGUAAUGCCUAGGAAUCUGCCUGGUAGUGGGGGAUAACGUCCGGAAACGGGCGCUAAUACCGCAUACGUCCUGAGGGAGAAAGUGGGGGAUCUUCGGACCUCACGCUAUCAGAUGAGCCUAGGUCGGAUUAGCUAGUUGGUGGGGUAAAGGCCUACCAAGGCGACGAUCCGUAACUGGUCUGAGAGGAUGAUCAGUCACAAUGGAACUGAGACACGGUCCAGACUCCUACGGGAGGCAGCAGUGGGGAAUAUUGGACAAUGGGCGAAAGCCUGAUCCAGCCAUGCCGCGUGUGUGAAGAAGGUCUUCGGAUUGUAAAGCACUUUAAGUUGGGAGAAAGGGCAGUAAGUUAAUACCGUGCUGUUUGGAGGUUACCAACAGAAUAAGCACCGGCUAACUUCGU
This 483-nucleotide ribosomal RNA is filed under the name uncultured bacterium. Its description in RNAcentral is "partial 16S ribosomal RNA". It matches the Rfam family "Bacterial small subunit ribosomal RNA", at positions 30 to 506 of the family's 1533-position model. The record is from RNAcentral.